RNAcentral lists this ribosomal RNA (292 nucleotides) under uncultured bacterium. RNAcentral describes it as "partial 16S ribosomal RNA". The record is from RNAcentral.
GGACUACAAGGGUUUCUAAUCCUGUUCGCUCCCCACGCUUUCGCACAUUAGUGUCAGUAACGUCCCAGCGAGCUGCCUUCGCUAUUGGUGUUCCUCCUGAUAUCUGCGCAUUCCACCGCUACACCAGGAAUUCCACUCGCCUCUUCCGUACUCUAGCCCCACAGUAUCCACCGGCUUUCAAAGGUUGAGCCUUUGACUUUCACAGCGGACUUAUGAGGCCACCUACGUGCGCUUUACGCCCAAUGAUUCCGGACAACGCUUGCUCCCUACGUAUUACCGCGGCUGCUGGCAC